UACGAUCCCCGAAGUUAAGCAACGUCGAGCCUGGUCAGUAGCAAUAUGGGUGAUUGCUUGGGAAUACCAGGUGCUGUAAU
This is a non-coding RNA of Acanthosepion pharaonis, 80 nucleotides long. Lineage: Eukaryota; Metazoa; Mollusca; Cephalopoda; Sepiida; Sepiidae. The record is from the annotation of a GenBank genome assembly.